GUAGGUGGCAAGCGUUGUCCGGAAUUAUUGGGCGUAAAGCGCGCGCAGGUGGUUCUUUAAGUCUGAUGUGAAAGCCCCCGGGCUCAACCGGGGAGGGUCAUUGGAAACUGGGGAACUUGAGUGCAGGAGAGGAAAGUGGAAUUCCACGUGUAGCGGUGAAAUGCGUAGAUAUGUGGAGGAACACCAGUGGCGAAGGCGACUUUCUGGCCUGUAACUGACACUGAGGCGCGAAAGCGUGGGGAGCAAACAGGAUUAGAUACCCUGGUAGUCCACGCCGUAAACGAUGAGUGCUAAGUGUUGGGGGGUUUCCGCCCCUCAGUGCUGCAGCUAACGCAUUAAGCACUCCGCCGGGGGAGUACGGUCGCAAAGACUGA
RNAcentral lists this ribosomal RNA (374 nucleotides) under uncultured organism. Its description in RNAcentral is "partial 16S ribosomal RNA". It matches the Rfam family "Bacterial small subunit ribosomal RNA", at positions 527 to 897 of the family's 1533-position model. The record is from RNAcentral.